GGUCGAGAGACCCUGCGCCGAAGAUUACCGGGGCUAAAGUACGAAACCGAAGCUGUGGCUACGACGUAAGUCGUGGGGUAGGGGAGCGUUCUGUGAGGGCUGAAGUCGUUCUGUAAGGAACGGUGGACUUCACAGAAGUGAGAAUGUUGGUAUGAGUAGCGAAAAGAAUGGUGAGAAUCCAUUCCACCGAAAGCAUAAGGAUUCCUGGGCAACGAUCGUCGUCCCAGGGUAAGUCGGGACCUAAUCCGAGGCAUGGAGCGUAGGAGAUGGACAACUGGCAGAUAUUCCAGUACCGGUAAUGAUUGUUUGAGCGAUGGAGUGACACAGGAGGGCAGGCAGGCAGGAGAUUGGUUGUUCCUGUACAAGCGUGUAGGAUGGGUUGUAGGCAAAUCCGCAACCUGUGAGUCUGAGGCGUGAUGUGGAGGUUCCGGAAACGGAGCUGAAGCUGCUGACCCCACACUGUCGAGAAAAGCUUCUAGUUAGAGAAUUACCGCCCGUACCGUAAACCGACACAGGUAUGCGGGGAGAGAAUCCUAAGGUGCGCGGGAGAACCCUCGUUAAGGAACUCGGCAAAAUGUACCCGUAACUUCGGGAUAAGGGUAGCCGCUGUUGUGAAGUCUGUACAGACGGAGCAUGAGGCGGUCGCAGAGAAGAGGCCCAAGCGACUGUUUACCACAAACACAGGUGCCUGCUAAAGAGAAAUCUGACGUAUAGGUGCUGACACCUGCCCAGUGCCGGAAGGUUAAGGAAGGAUGUCCGGAGCAAUCCAAAGCAUUCGACCGAAGCCCCGGUGAACGGCGGCCGUAACUAUAACGGUCCUAAGGUAGCGAAAUUCCUUGUCGGGUAAGUUCCGACCCGCACGAAAGGUGUAACGAUUUGGGCACUGUCUCAACGAGGGACCCGGUGAAAUUGAAGUACCUGUGAAGAUGCAGGUUACCCGCGACUGGACAGAAAGACCCCAUGGAGCUUUACUGUAACCUGACAUUGGGUUCUGAUACAUCACGUACAGGAUAGGUGGGAGGCAUGGAAGCGAGGACGCUAGUCUUCGUGGAGCCGCCGUUGGGAUACCACCCUUGAUGUAUCGGAAUUCUAACCGUAGGAGUAACGAAACUCGGGACAGUGUCAGGCGGGCAGUUUGACUGGGGCGGUCGCCUCCCAAAGAGUAACGGAGGCGCCCAAAGGUUCCCUCAGCGCGGCCGGAAAUCGCGCGAAGAGUGUAAAGGCAGAAGGGAGCUUGACUGAGAGCCAAACACGGCGAUCAGGUACGAAAGUAGGGCUUAGUGAUCCGGUGGCAUCCAAGUGGAAGGGCCAUCGCUCAACGGAUAAAAGCUACCCUGGGGAUAACAGGCUAAUCUCUCCCAAGAGUCCAUAUCGACGGGGAGGUUUGGCACCUCGAUGUCGGCUCAUCACAUCCUGGGGCUGAAGUCGGUCCCAAGGGUUGGGCUGUUCGCCCAUUAAAGUGGUACGUGAGCUGGGUUCAGAACGUCGUGAGACAGUUCGGUCCCUAUCCAUCGCGGGCGCAAGAGAUUUGAAGGGGGCUGCUCCUAGUACGAGAGGACCGGAGUGGACGAACCAAUGGUGUACCAAUUAUCUCGCCAGAGGUAUAGUUGGGUAGCUACGUUCGGAAAGGAUAAACGCUGAAAGCAUCUAAGCGUGAAACCAGCCUUAAGAUGAGAUCUCUCAUAGAGUAAUCUAGUAAGACACCUUGGAGAAGACGAGGUUGAUAGGUCGGGAGUGUAAGUACAGUAAUGUAUUCAGCGGACCGAUACUAAUAUGUCGAGGGCUUGACUUA
This 1792-nucleotide ribosomal RNA is filed under the name human gut metagenome. RNAcentral describes it as "bacterial LSU rRNA". It matches the Rfam family "Bacterial large subunit ribosomal RNA", at positions 1147 to 2925 of the family's 2925-position model. The record is from RNAcentral.